Long non-coding RNA from Cucumis melo (muskmelon), 2048 nucleotides. RefSeq lists it as uncharacterized. NCBI's taxonomy places the organism in Eukaryota, Viridiplantae, Streptophyta, Magnoliopsida, Cucurbitales, Cucurbitaceae. The transcript has 3 exons. The record is from RefSeq and is a predicted model, not a curated record.
AAAUAAAGGGGGUCUUCUUCUUCUUCGUAGUGCAGCAGCCCUCCACCUUCUUCUUCUUCCUCACAAACUCCCGCUGUACAACCCCAUCUCUUCCAUCCUUCUUCUCUAAUCAUGCGCCACCCAUCUUAGAUCUUUAUAGUCGACACCGAUCGCCCUCACAAGCCGUCACAUUUCUGCCAGCCGUCGUCCAACCUUCAUUGCGUCUCCCCAUCCUUGAAGCCCAAUCGUCCGUCCGCAACAUUGAAGUCGUUGCUAUUCGACCAGCCUUCUCCGUCGCAUGCAAAUCCCAGCCGUACGCCGCCACAUCCCUCCUCCGUGUUUAGUAAAAGAUUCAUUAUUUUUCUUUAUCUUACCAGGAAUGAGUUGGAUGAGCAAACCCCUCUGACGGGCUUGCCUUGUUUCACAUUUUCCCUUUCAAUUCAUGUCAAGGAGUAGGAAGAAAUUUUCCAUCCUUUUGUAUGAGCCAUCUCGAUCCAACUUCGGUAUUUCUUCUCAUACCUAAUUUGUUAGUCUCAAUGUAUAUGAGAACUUCACAUAACAAGUAGCCAUAGGUAUGCUGCAAAACCCGUGUUCUCACUUUGUGUUCCACUUAAUUAUAUCCAGUGUUUCUUCCUACAAAAAUGUGGUCAAUUUUUGGAUGUUGUAAUGCUUCAUUCAAUGUUGUUAAUUAUGUUACUCAUGUUUGAAUGAUCUUUUUGUUUUGUGGUUCUUUUUUCAGUGCAUUAUCAUUGACUAUUUAACAGGACUGAUCGAAUCUUUGUUGCCUUAUGGUGCUUGGUCUUGAAUAAAUUCUUUUUCAAGAAGUUGUUCAAGGGAAGGGUUGAGAAAGGUGAAAAAUUAAUUAUGGAAGAUCUAUUCCUUAGUCAAACUUUAAGUUUUGUAAUAUGUAUUUUCUACUUGAUUUGGGCUGAGGAAAUGAGUGCUUUUGUCUUACUUAAAAGAGGUAUGAAGGUGGCUGGGACAUUGCCAAUCGAAAUUACUAGGCUGUAAGUUUUGUUAACAUAAUUUUGUUUUACUAUUUAUGAUUGGCAUACUUUUUCGAAUUCUGCUAUUCAAUACAAUUUCUUGUAAUUAGUUUUUGUUGUAUGCUAGGAAGAUAUAUCAUUUGGAGUGGUUAGAAAAUCUUUGGAGCGUCGUAAUACAGUGUGCAUUGAAAUACAACGUAUAACUUUGCCCUAAAUUUAUGUUAUUGGGUUUUAGCGUUUUAGUUGAAUUUAAUUAGGUUUUUGGAUUCAUGGGUUUGGAUAGAAUGCUUCUUGGGGUAAUGGGACAUUCCUUCAUGUAUUCUUUAUAUUCCUUCCUCUAAUGAUUGAUGAUAUUUCUUCUAUAUAAGAAGAUUGUGAAGAAGCACGCUCACCAUUUGUGAAGAAGUACAAGACUGUCAUACACUCUGGUGAGGUUGACAAAGGUCUUAACAAGGCAAAAGGGAAUCUUAUGGCAUUCUAUAAGAUAUGUACUCAAUCAUGUUAUGGUUGAAUAGGCAAAUGAUUUUAUUUUUACCCAUAAGUUGUUUCAUUUCAUGUUUUGGUUUUUAGGCACAGUAUAAUAUUGAUCAAGCAUUGCAAAAAGAUACUUCCUUUAGAAGAUGGGUGGGUUAUGAGAUCAUGUUAUUUUUAGUUGUUUUUAGUAUGCACAUUUGAUCAUGAAGUGUUUUGAAGUGUGUAUGUAAUUUAGCUUAGUUUGUGGGCUGAAUUUAGCUAAGUUUAGAAGUUAUUAUUCUUGAAGUGUGUGUGUACUGUUCUAUGUUGUUGAAGUGUGUUGUUCAUCAUGAAGUGAAUGUGAUGUGUUUAUGUGGGUGAAUAUGUUGUCUUGUUGAAUCAUUUUUUUUUCCUUUUCUUUUCUUAUUAGGUUUUGCCACAAUCCAUUAAAGCAAUGAAGAUAUAUUUACGCCAAUUAGUUGAUGUAUAGACUUUUUUGUAGGUUUGGUAGAAUUUUUUUUGUUUAAAUGUAGUUAUUUAAAUAGUUUGUUCGUACCAAAACACAUUUGUACCAACAAUUAAAGCAACAUUACAAAGUGUGUUUCUUUCUAUUAAAGCGUUCACCAUUUU